RNAcentral lists this ribosomal RNA (377 nucleotides) under uncultured bacterium. RNAcentral's name for it is "bacterial SSU rRNA". It matches the Rfam family "Bacterial small subunit ribosomal RNA", at positions 521 to 896 of the family's 1533-position model. The record is from RNAcentral.
UAAGACGAACCGUCCAAACGUUAUUCGGAAUUACUGGGCUUAAAGGGUGCGUAGGCGGCGCGGCAAGUUGGGUGUGAAAUCCCUCGGCUCAACCGAGGAAUUGCGCCCAAAACUGCCGUGCUUGAGGGAGACAGAGGUGAGCGGAACUGAUGGUGGAGCGGUGAAAUGCGUUGAUAUCAUCAGGAACACCAGUGGCGAAGGCGGCUCACUGGGUCUCUUCUGACGCUGAGGCACGAAAGCUAGGGGAGCAAACGGGAUUAGAUACCCCGGUAGUCCUAGCUGUAAACGAUGAGCACUUGGUCGGAGACUCCUCCAUAGGUUUCCGGCCGCAGCGAAAGUGUUAAGUGCUCCGCCUGGGGAGUAUGGUCGCAAGGCUG